UCCAGACGGACCAUCCCUCCCCGACCCAAGCUCAUCUCUGGCCCCUCCUCGCAGGCUCCCCAGACUGCUUCCUGGGGUCCCCAAGGCUCCCUGACCUUACCCGGCCACCCCUCAGGGUGCUACCGCUCUCCCAAGAGUCCAGAGAGCCAAGGGGUGCGCAUGCUGCGGCCAGAAGGGGGGGCAGGCCCACCACAGCAGCCAGGCCUCCUGAGCACCUCAUGCCCAGAGAAAAGCAGGCUGGUUGCACAAUUACAUGUCAAACAGUGAUGCAUGAAGGCUGCUUGUAAAAUCUGAGCCCUGUAUCCUCCGUGUGGGGACGGCCUCCCAGGCCCGCCAGCAGACCCGAUCCGGAAGGACAGGACUUGACGGCAGCGUGAGAAACUCCACGCAGUGAAGCUCAGACCGGAGACGGUCCUCAGCACGGGACGCGGGCAGGAAGGGCGGGCGCCUCUAGCAGCAGACCCCGAAGCCCGAACG
This is a long non-coding RNA of Suricata suricatta (meerkat), 477 nucleotides long. RefSeq lists it as uncharacterized. Lineage: Eukaryota; Metazoa; Chordata; Mammalia; Carnivora; Herpestidae. The record is from RefSeq and is a predicted model, not a curated record. The transcript is spliced from 3 exons.